AGCAGCCGCGGUAAUUCCAGCUCCAAUAGCGUAUAUUAAAGUUGUUGCAGUUAAAAAGCUCGUAGUUGAAUUUCGGAGUUUGUCGGUUGGUCGGGCUUCACUGUCCGCACUGGCCUGAUGGAUUCCUACCUUCUGAAUAACCAGCAUGCUAUUAAGUUAGUGCGUUGGGGAAGCAGAGCUAUUACCUUGAAAAAAUUAGAGUGCUUAAAGCAGGCUUUUGCUUGAAUAGAUUAGCAUGGAAUAAUAAAAUAGGACGGCAUGGUUCUAUUUUGUUGGUUUCUAGGAUCACCGUAAUGAUUAAUAGGGAUAGUUGGGGGCAUUAGUAUUCAAUUGUCAGAGGUGAAAUUCUUGGAUUUAUUGAAGACUAACUUCUGCGAAAGCAUUUGCCAAGGAUGUUUUCAUUAAUCAAGAACGAAAGUUAGGGGAUCGUAAGACGAUCAGAUACCGUCGUAGUCUUAACCAUAAACUAUGCCGACUAGGGAUCGGACGAUGUUAAUUUUUAAUGACUCGUUCGGCG
This 517-nucleotide ribosomal RNA is filed under the name uncultured Acaulospora. RNAcentral's name for it is "SSU rRNA". It matches the Rfam family "Eukaryotic small subunit ribosomal RNA", at positions 569 to 1085 of the family's 1831-position model. Lineage: Eukaryota; Fungi; Glomeromycota; Glomeromycetes; Diversisporales; Acaulosporaceae. The record is from RNAcentral.